UAAAAGAUACGUCAGCAUAAUCUGCAGGUUAGAGGAUAUUGGAAUUUGUGAUGUUGCUAACACGAAUAUACCUUCAAAUGGGCCAUGACGACAUGCUAUCAGAUUCACUAAGAAUGAAUCUUCUGUUUGAAUAUGUAUGAUCGGGAGCAUUAAAUAGAUCAGUAAUAAGCGAGAAACAACAAUAUAAACUACUGUUCCCUCUCUCAAGGAUAUGUUAACUUUUAAUUCCAAUGAAUACAUUGGUGUCGGUGAAAAAAUUGCUGAGUCUGGUGAUGGAGAACUUCCCAAAUGGAGCAUGCGCACUCUGCAGGAUUCAAGAUUCCCCGUUGAUGUAAUUUUGCCAGAUGCUCGUCACCCAUUCCUAUGGCUGGUGAUGGAGCUUAGUGACUUUCAACCAAGCAACGUGGAUGAAUCUACUGUCUCCUUUUCUGUUCAGUCCGCUAUGUAUGAUGGUUCCUUGAGCUGAAGUCCUGGGCAGAAGAAAUUGCCAUUCCAAGAGAUGGAUGGUGUCACAUUCUGAAUUGUGGAAAUGCCAAGGAUGUUUACUCACAUUCUACUCCCCAGCUGUGCACCAGUCACGAGGGGUCCCAACACUAAAAAUUGACUGCAGACACAGUGAAUACAUGACGACGAACUGGGGGCCUCUAGGAUUCCUGGAUGCAAGUUUGUACAGAAUUAUGGUUGGGGAGAGCACAGUGGGAAGUACGGACAGCUACGCAUUGGAGAGGAUAUGUGCAGAGGCGCAAUGAAAAAUGGCACGUUUCGAG
Cryptotermes secundus is the source of this 767-nucleotide long non-coding RNA. RefSeq lists it as uncharacterized. The record is from RefSeq and is a predicted model, not a curated record. The transcript is spliced from 6 exons. Lineage: Eukaryota; Metazoa; Arthropoda; Insecta; Blattodea; Kalotermitidae.